GAUGAACGCUGGCGGCGUGCCUAAUACAUGCAAGUCGAGCGAACAGACGAUGAGCUUGCUCCUCUGACGUUAGCGGCGGACGGGUGAGUAACACGUGGAUAACCUACCUAUAAGACUGGGAUAACUUCGGGAAACCGGAGCUAAUACCGGAUAAUAUAUUGAACCGCAUGGUUCAAUAGUGAAAGACGGUUUUGCUGUCACUUAUAGAUGGAUCCGCGCCGCAUUAGCUAGUUGGUAAGGUAACGGCUUACCAAGGCAACGAUGCGUAGCCGAUCUGAGAGGGUGAUCAGCCACACUGGAACUGAGACACGGUCCAGACUCCUACGGGAGGCAGCAGUAGGGAAUCUUCCGCAAUGGGCGAAAGCCUGACGGAGCAACGCCGCGUGAGUGAUGAAGGUCUUCGGAUCGUAAAACUCUGUUAUUAGGGAAGAACAAAUGUGUAAGUAAAUAUGCACGUCUUGACGGUACCUAAUCAGAAAGCCACGGCUAACUACGUG
RNAcentral lists this ribosomal RNA (497 nucleotides) under uncultured bacterium. RNAcentral's name for it is "partial 16S ribosomal RNA". It matches the Rfam family "Bacterial small subunit ribosomal RNA", at positions 28 to 507 of the family's 1533-position model. The record is from RNAcentral.